GAUGAACGCUGGCGGCGUGCCUAAUACAUGCAAGUCGAGCGAACAGACGAGGAGCUUGCUCCUCUGACGUUAGCGGCGGACGGGUGAGUAACACGUGUAUAACCUACCUAUAAGACUGGGAUAACUUCGGGAAACCGGAGCUAAUACCGGAUAAUAUAUUGAACCGCACGGUUCAAUAGUGAAAGACGGUUUUGCUGUCACUUAUAGAUGGAUCCGCGCCGCAUUAGCUAGUGGGUAAGGUAACGGCUUACCAAGGCAACGAUGCGUAGCCGACCUGAGAGGGUGAUCGGCCACACUGGAACAGAGACACGGUCCAGACUCCUACGGGAGGCAGCAGUAGGGAAUCUUCCGCGAUGGGCGAGAGCCUGACGGAGCAACGCCGCGUGAGUGAUGAAGGUCCUCGGAUCGUAGAGCUCUGUUAUUAGGGAAGAACAAAUGUGUAAGUAACUAUGCACGUCUUGACGGUACCUAAUCAGGAAGCCACGGCUAACUACGUG
RNAcentral lists this ribosomal RNA (497 nucleotides) under uncultured bacterium. RNAcentral describes it as "partial 16S ribosomal RNA". It matches the Rfam family "Bacterial small subunit ribosomal RNA", at positions 28 to 507 of the family's 1533-position model. The record is from RNAcentral.